This 253-nucleotide ribosomal RNA is filed under the name uncultured bacterium. RNAcentral describes it as "partial 16S ribosomal RNA". It matches the Rfam family "Bacterial small subunit ribosomal RNA", at positions 524 to 776 of the family's 1533-position model. The record is from RNAcentral.
GACAGAGGUGCCGAGCGUUAGGCGGAAUCACUGGGCUUAAAGCGUGUGUAGGCGGGUGCCUAAGUACCUUGUGAAAUCCCACGGCUCAACCGUGGAACUGCUUGGUAUACUGGGUAUCUUGAGCCACUUAGGGGCAACCGGAACAAACGGUGGAGCGGUGAAAUGCGUAGAGAUCGGAAAGAACACCAACGGCGAAAGCACUCUGCUGGGCCGACACUGACACUGAGAGACGAAAGCUAGGGGAGCGAAUGGG